UACGUAGGGGGCAAGCGUUGUCCGGAAUCACUGGGCGUAAAGGGUGCGUAGGCGGGUCUUUAAGUCAGGGGUGAAAUCCUGGAGCUCAACUCCAGAACUGCCUUUGAUACUGAAGAUCUUGAGUUCGGGAGAGGUGAGUGGAACUGCGAGUGUAGAGGUGAAAUUCGUAGAUAUUCGCAAGAACACCAGUGGCGAAGGCGGCUCACUGGCCCGAUACUGACGCUGAGGCAC
RNAcentral lists this ribosomal RNA (231 nucleotides) under uncultured bacterium. RNAcentral's name for it is "partial 16S ribosomal RNA". It matches the Rfam family "Bacterial small subunit ribosomal RNA", at positions 524 to 754 of the family's 1533-position model. The record is from RNAcentral.